This is a long non-coding RNA of Chenopodium quinoa (quinoa), 4135 nucleotides long. RefSeq lists it as uncharacterized. NCBI's taxonomy places the organism in Eukaryota, Viridiplantae, Streptophyta, Magnoliopsida, Caryophyllales, Amaranthaceae. The transcript is spliced from 6 exons. The record is from RefSeq and is a predicted model, not a curated record.
UGUAUCUGAGAUGUUACUCCACAAACUUCAUAAUAUUAAUCUAUCUAUGAGAUUUGACUGGUAUGAUAAUUUGUCAUAGAAGUGUUCUCCUAUAAUCUUAUAGGUUCUUACUCUUAUUGAUAUAAUCCAAUACUACUAUGGAAAUUGCUAUGAAAUAUUCUCUAAGGUCUUAGUUGUAGGGAUGUCAACUCGAAAAUAGAACCUUUGCAGUUGUGACAAUGUGUCCAUAGAAAUAUAUAAUAGCAAAAUUUUAGGGUGGAGUAGUGACUCCGUAUUUUUUGUAUCAUUUUUUGAGUAUUUUUACACCUAACUACUAACUCUCAUGUAACACUGUAUUGUUUAUAAAACUUGUGGGAUGUUUGUUUCACCAUGUGGUAUCACAUAGGUGGUGUUUGGAAAAUUGGUACGGGUGAUACCUAGAAACGCAUACAUAAUUACAAAUGUUUGGGUUUAUUUAGUAAAACUUCAGACCCCUUUUUAACUGACAAAAGAAGAGCUCAAACCCUCGUCUGUUUUUCUUCUCUUCCAUCUUGUUCCUGUCAGUCCCUCCUCUAAGAUCCCCGUCUUCUCUCCACCACGAUCGCUGCAUCUCACUCAUUUUCCUUCUUUUUGUGGGUUAUCUGUUCCUCUGCAAACUGCGCUAUAUGUCUGAUUGACAUUGGAGUGGGGGGGGACGGGGGUGGGGGGUUUUGGUGUCACUGCCUUGUCAUGGUCAGCAGUACUCUGGUCUCUAGCCACCUGCUGCUCUACACAAAAUUCCAAAAUGACUGAGAGGGCAGUACUCUACUCUCUAGCCACCCUGCCACCACCCAUCCACCUCGUCGCCCUACCCCGGCCAUCGCGGUCCCUUCUCCGCCGCUUGCCGACCUCCGGUAAGCUCGCAUCUCCCUCGAAAAUCUUUCUUAACCCCUCGUCGGAACUCACUUCCCCUGUUCACACCUCCCCCAUCCCUCGAAAAUCUUCCCCGACCCCUUGUCGGCCAUCGCUACCCCUGUUUCGAUCGAGCGAAGUUCGAAUUGAAGAAAAAUGAGAAUUUGUUGGAUUUCUUAAUUGGGGUUUUCUAGGGUUUGGAAGGUAUUGAUGAUAGAUAAUUAUGGUUUAUGAGCUUAGAAUUGACGGCAAUGGCUAGAGAAUGAAGGAAUGGUGAAAUAGGUUAGGGGAAGGUUUUGUGCGAUGGGCUCCGGGAGAUUUCGACAAAGUGGUGGCUGGCGGUGAGGUGGCUGGAGAAGUGGGAAAGUGAAGGAAAAAGGGGUUGUGUGGUGAUGUUGGUGGUGGUGGUAAAUCCGGUGAGUCCCUUUGUUUUUUCGAUUCAAACAACACACUACAUGGAAUGGUUUUUCAUUCCAUUAUCUUACAUUCCCUUUGUUCAUUCCAUUCCGUUUACCCCGUGCGAACCAAACGGCCCCUUAGGGCUCAGUUUGAUUACCCAAUGUCAUCUACCAUCCACACAUUAAGCAAUCUUUGUCAUCCUUACCUUAUUUUUGCAUAAGUUGUUUAGUGAUUCCGUCAAAACAAGGUAUCUAAGCCCUCCAAAAUCAAAUAUGGCGAUAAUUAUCAAAGGAAACAUCAAAAUUUAAGCUGAUUUGCAGCCAAAUUACAGCUCAUAUCUAUUUUUCACCAAAUUUUAAGCUAAUUUGUACAUAAUUAUUAGCCAAAUCAACGCAAAUAUUACUAACAGCCUAGCCUUAAUAACAUCAAACAUAUAAUUCAAAAAUGAAAUCAGCCUACAACGAUGAAAUUGACAACAAAUUCAAACAAAAAGCAUACAGAAGCAUAUUAAAAGCCAAUUACCAGAAGAAAUAAAAACUAUAACUGCAGAAAUUUCAAUGGAAGAAGCAUAAAUGAAAGAACAAAUAAAGCAGAAAUUAAAGCAGAGGGAACAAAAAGACUGAAGCCAAGGUCGGUUUUUUCGUGAAGAAUAAAGCAUGCAAGAGAAAAGGAUGAGCAAGAUGAGGAUGAGCUUCAUUUUGCCAUUAAAGACCAUACAUUAGAGGAGGAAGAAAGACACCAUAGAAAAAGUAAAGGGUGAGGUGAGUUGCCAAAAGAGAACCCCACUUAUCAUUUUCAGGAAAGAGCAAAUAGGAAAUCUAGUAACUUAACGAAACUUUAAGUAUAACUAACAGAGUAUUACGGUUAUAAUUUACAUUAAUCUUCGGUGGUAUAACAUAGAAGAAUGAAAAAAUUUGGGUACCAUAUGGAAAAGACAUAUUUAUAGUGGUACCAAAUGGAAAAUCCCGAAUCAUUAUAUACAUACAGUAAUAGAUAUCUUUGAAGGCUAUUAAAUCUCCAAUAUAAACACUUUACAAUCGGUUAGAUCUAAUUAAAAUAAAAGUUAUGGCAAAAUAAAAAAUGCGGACUAUCGUGCAUGUUAGGACGACUAGUAACCAUUCAAAGUGAGAACUUAUGAGUUUUUUUUUCCCUUAGUAAUAAAGUGCCAAUAAGAACCCUCAAAAAGUGCAAGUACUCUUGAGCUCUUGGUUUGCAAUGGAGAUGCUCUUUGCUUGUAGUAUACUUCCAAUUAUGACCUUGAAAAUGGUGUUUUUUUUUUCCCCUCAAUUUUGUCCUUUCCUUUCCUUUUCCCUUGCUUUUCUCGCUUUCCUAUCACAUCCAUGCAUUUUCCUACCUUUUCUCUCUACCCUAACACAGAGAUGCAUCUCCCUCCAUUUUCAGUGAGAAAUGCUGAAUGUUGUUACUACUCCUUUUUUCUCUCAUCUCACUUUCUCUCUCUAGAAAUGGGUGUUUUUGAGGGUUUUUCAAAGAAUUCAGGCAAGAAAUAGCACUGCAUAUUCCGAUUAUUCCAUAAUAAUUAUUAUCAUUUUCACUUGAUUCAUUGUUUUGAUGAUCCAUUUUUCAGCAUUAGCUCAUGGAUUUCUAGAUUUUAAUCUCAUCGAAUACCAAUUUCAUAAUCUUCAAAAGGGAAAUGGAUUAUGCACGUACUGGGUUGGGGUGUGAAUUAUGUGGGUGACAUUGGAAGACUUCGCAAAGUUCUUUCAAGCUUCAACAUUGUCUUGGCUCCAAAGAAGGAUACUAAUUAUAUCCGGGGGCAGAAAGCAGAAGUGGAGUAAGGGAAAGCAAAAGGAUGAGGUGAAUAGCUAAAUGGAUUAUAUGGAGUCAGCCAAGCAUGGAGUAUUUGUCUUCCUCACUUUCUUCUUUUAGGACCAGAGAGUGCAAAAGCAUGCCUCAUAAUGAUGUUAAAAGGCCCGUUGUGAGUUUUCGUGACUCUCAUUCAUAUGAUGAUGUUGAUGAGGAGGUGGUUUAUCGUGAGGUUGAAAGACUCACUCAAAAGAAGGAAGUUUUGCCUAGAUCUAAGAAAGGGGUCUGCUAUUGGUGUCUUAAAGGAAAUCGUUUCUGAAAAAGAGGCUUGUAUUGUCUGCAAUGCAAAGUAUUGUAGCAAUUGUGUUCUCAAGACCAUGGGGCCCAAUGCCUGAAGGAAGAAAAUGUGUUGCAUGCAUUGGAUAUUCCACUGAUGAGUCCAUGCGAGAGAAUUUGGGAAAGCACUCUAAGAUACUCAAGAGGCUGUUAAAUGAUUUGGAGAUUCGACAAAUAUUGAAAGCUGAGAAGCUUUGUGAUGUUAAUCAGCUGCCAACCGAGUACAACUGUGUAAACGGAAAGCCUCUAUGUCAUGAGGAGCUGCUGUUGUUACAGAUCGCUGUAGUUACAGACCUGUCUGUCGCCAGAAAACAUCAAACCAUGAAAUUUUGGUAUGACAAAGUAUCUGGACUUUGGGUAAAGGAAGGACCUUUCAGAUUAUCAGUUCACAUCUCCCAAGUGACGAUGGUUGAUACCAAGUAGAGGGACAAAAGAACACCAAAGGCUACACCAAAAGAAACACCGUUUUUGUCACUUCUCCUAAGUUUCCAUCUAGGCUCUACCAGGAAGCUCCCAUAUAUUAGGCUUUUAUAAUAUUUUUGGCAAUAAUGUUGAAUUUUGUUACUCUGUUGAUGAAAUUAGCAAACCCUGGUAAUAAUUUGUUGAUGAAUUAAGCAAACAAUGAUAUGGGGUUUGUGAGAAUGUAAUAUUGAUGUUGCAUAUAAUUUGUGUCUAAGGUUAGAAUGCUCAGUGGCUUAGUGGAGGGUGAACUUAUAGAUAAGUACUAGCAUUUAAGAACGAUUAAUGAUGGUUUUGUGUUUGCUUA